Molecule: ribosomal RNA, 139 nt
Filed under: Candidatus Tectimicrobiota bacterium
Lineage: Bacteria; Pseudomonadati; Candidatus Tectimicrobiota
Description: partial 16S ribosomal RNA
Rfam family: Bacterial small subunit ribosomal RNA
Source: RNAcentral
AAACUGAAGAGUUUGAUCAUGGCUCAGAUUGAACGUUGGCGGCAGGCUUAACACAUGCAAGUCGAACGAGAAAGCGCCUUCGGGCGCGAGUAAAGUGGCGGACGGGUGAGUAACGCGUAGGAACCUGCCCGGCAGAAGG